UUUUCUUUCGCUUCGUUAACGGUCACUCUGGCUUCUGGCAUCUCACGGUCUCACAUCAUGCACGGUCUAGCAAAUGAAGAGAUGGCAUCGAACGAGACAACGUCGCACGAUAUGUGGGCAAGGCGCGCGGACGACGCUGCUUGAACAGUUGUGAUUCUCCACGUUAUCUCCGCGCUACAAAUUGAUAUGCGUACGCCCAUUGUCCACCAGCUGCGAGAACCAGGCCGAAAGUCAAUGCUCCCC
Ornithodoros turicata is the source of this 243-nucleotide long non-coding RNA. RefSeq lists it as uncharacterized. The transcript is spliced from 3 exons. The record is from RefSeq and is a predicted model, not a curated record. Lineage: Eukaryota; Metazoa; Arthropoda; Arachnida; Ixodida; Argasidae.